Molecule: ribosomal RNA, 722 nt
Filed under: Staphylococcus pasteuri
Lineage: Bacteria; Bacillati; Bacillota; Bacilli; Caryophanales; Staphylococcaceae
Description: bacterial SSU rRNA
Rfam family: Bacterial small subunit ribosomal RNA (bases 75-722)
Source: RNAcentral
GGACGUCGAUGUCUGCAGGUGUUGGGGGGUUGAGAUUUUAUAUGGCUGCACUUAAGGCAUUAAUUGAUCCCCCGGGGAAUUACGACCCCAGGGUUGAAACUCAAUGGAUUUGAGGGGGACCCGCCCAGCCGGGGAACCAGGGGGUUUAUUUCAAACCACCCCGAAAAACCUUACCAAAUCUUGACUGCCUUUGACUUUUCUAAAAAGGAAUGUUUCCCCUUCGAACUAUGACACGAGUGGUGGUGGGCUGUUGUCAUCUCCUCGCGUGAGAAGAUGUUGGGUUUCCUCCCGCAACCAGCGCCCUUGUUCUUAUUUACUGCCAUCAUUUGGUUGGGCCCUCUAAGUUGACUGCCGGUGACAAACCGGAGGAAGGUGGGGAUGACGUCAAAUCAUCAUGCCCCUUAUGAUUUGGGCUACACACGUGCUACAUGGGACAAUACAAAGGGUGCCUAACCCGCGAGGUCAAGCAAAUCUCAUAAACUUGUUCUCAGUUCGGAUUGUAGUCUGCAACUCGACUGCAUGAAGUCUGGAAUCGCUAGUAAUCGUAAAAUCAAAAUGUCUACGGUGAAUACGUUCCCCGGGGUCUUUGUACACACCCGCCCCGUCACACCAUGGAGAGUGUUGUUGCACCCGAAGCCGCUGGUAGUACCCAUUUAUAGGAGCUAGCCCUCGAAGGUGGUUACAAGAUGAGUGGGGAGUCUGAAAAAAGGGAAAACAAAAAA